AUUAAAUAAGAAGCAAAAAAUUUGCAUUUAGUUUCGACCUAAAAUUUUGAUAUUUUAUAUCCUUAUUUUU
Molecule: transfer RNA, 70 nt
Filed under: Sternochetus olivieri
Lineage: Eukaryota; Metazoa; Arthropoda; Insecta; Coleoptera; Curculionidae
Description: tRNA-Arg
Source: RNAcentral